GACGAACCGUGCGAACGUUGUUCGGAAUCACUGGGCUUAAAGGGCGCGUAGGCGGGCUAUCAAGUCCGGGGUGAAAUCCUCCAGCUCAACUGGAGAACUGCCUCGGAUACUGAUGGUCUCGAGGAGGAUAGGGGCACACGGAACUGUGGGUGGAGCGGUGAAAUGCGUUGAUAUCCAUAGGAACUCCGGUGGCGAAAGCGGUGUGCUGGAUCCUUUCUGACGCUGAGGCGCGAAAGCGUGGGGAGCGAACAGG
RNAcentral lists this ribosomal RNA (253 nucleotides) under uncultured bacterium. RNAcentral's name for it is "partial 16S ribosomal RNA". It matches the Rfam family "Bacterial small subunit ribosomal RNA", at positions 524 to 776 of the family's 1533-position model. The record is from RNAcentral.